RNAcentral lists this long non-coding RNA (1389 nucleotides) under Gossypium raimondii (Peruvian cotton). Its description in RNAcentral is "long non-coding RNA (GRAI_LNC000817)". The record is from RNAcentral. Lineage: Eukaryota; Viridiplantae; Streptophyta; Magnoliopsida; Malvales; Malvaceae.
UGAGUAUCAUGAUUGAAUCGAAUGAAAUAUAUAUAUAUAUAUAUAAAUAUAUAUACGUAUUGAUAUUGAAUUUAUUGAUAGUAAUUGUUGAAUUUUGAAUAAUAUGUUUAGUAAAUAAAAAUAAGGAGAAUAUCGAUAUUUAAUUGAAUGAAUUAAAAAUAUGAAUUGAAUAAAAGUGAAUUAAAUUAUGAAUAAGUGUGAAUACGUGAAUUGAGUAUUGACUGAAAAGUGGUUUGAUUCGAAUCGAGGUAUGAUUUGUGAAAUAUGUAUUGGUGCUGAAUUGUAUAUUGAUUUGAAAGUGGGAAGUGAAUUUGAAAUAGAAAAAUGUAUUGAAUCAAAUGGUGAUUAAAUUGUAUAAUGAUUUGAAUUGAAAGUAUGAGAAAGUGAUUGAAUUGAAAUGUGAUUUGAAUUGAAAUGUGAUUCGGAAACCCUAUUAACUAGUCGGGCUGAGUCGAAUAUAGUUGGCAUGCCAUAGGAUUGGAAGUGUUCAGGGAUACUUCGACCUUGAGUCGAUGAGACACUGGGUGUCAUAAUGUUACUUCGGAUAGAUUCGAUGAGGUACUGGGUACCAACUUGCUUCGGCUUUGUCGAUGAGACACUGGGUGUCAACUAUUGCUUCGAACUAUCUGAUGAGGCACUGGGUGCCAUUCUGGUGUGUUUGGUUGGAUCCGUGUAUCCGCCAAGGUCCGAGUCAAGUUAAUAGGGGUAAAUGAAUAAUUUUGAUAAUAUAAAUUUUAUUAAAUGAUCUUGAAUAUGAAUCGAAAUGAGAUAUUAAAUUGAGAUAUGGAAAUGAAAUGUAUGAACCAAGGGUUCAAGAAAUAGUUAGCAAUUUAGUUCAUGAAAUGAUUUUGGUAGUAUGAGAUGUAAAAAUAUAAGUAAAGAAAAGCAAAUUGAAAUAGCUAUUGCUGAGAAAUGAGAAGUGAAAAUAAAAUGAUUCGAAAUAGUGGAAUUAUAUGUGAAUUUAAUUAAAUACAAGAUUGAAAUAUUGCUUAUUGUUAUUAAUGAUCUAGUUGAUUUAAAGUAUGAGACAAUUAACGAAUAAUUGUAGACAUAAAUUAACUGUAUAUAAUUUAUUGGUUAAUGUUAUUAAUUUGAAUUAUGGUAAUACCACUGAGUAUUCCUAUACUCAGCGUACGGUUGUUUCCGUGCGCCGGUUAGUAGAAAACCAGUGUUCGGUCCAGUAUCCAGAGUAAUCCCGACCUCAGAGAAAUUUAGCGAUGUACUUUUCUUUUGAUAUUGUGGCAUGUAUCUAAUAUCUAGGUAAUGUAUUGAUUAAAGUAUGCUAUGUAUGUCAUUUAUUUGUGAAUUAGUGAUAAGUUAUCUGAUAUGUCCGGUAAUGCUCCGUAACUCGAUUCCGGCGACGGAUUUGUGUUGGGAGUGUUACAUUAU